RNAcentral lists this ribosomal RNA (496 nucleotides) under uncultured bacterium. Its description in RNAcentral is "partial 16S ribosomal RNA". It matches the Rfam family "Bacterial small subunit ribosomal RNA", at positions 28 to 507 of the family's 1533-position model. The record is from RNAcentral.
GAUGAACGCUGCGGCGUGCCUCAUACAUGCAAGUCGAGCGAACGGACGAGAAGCUUGCUUCUCUGAUGUUAGCGGCGGACGGGUGAGUAACACGUGGAUAACCUACCUAUAAGACUGGGAUAACUUCGGGAAACCGGAGCUAAUACCGGAUGAUAUUUUGAACCGCAUGGUUCAAAAGUGAAAGACGGUCUUGCUGUCACUUAUAGAUGGAUCCGCGCUGCAUUAGCUAGUUGGUAAGGUAACGGCUUACCAAGGCAACGAUGCAUAGCCGACCUGAGAGGGUGAUCGGCCACACUGGAACUGAGACACGGUCCAGACUCCUACGGGAGGCAGCAGUAGGGAAUCUUCCGCAAUGGGCGAAAGCCUGACGGAGCAACGCCGCGUGAGUGAUGAAGGUCUUCGGAUCGUAAAACUCUGUUAUUAGGGAAGAACAUAUGUGUAAGUAACUGUGCACAUCUUGACGGUACCUAAUCAGAAAGCCACGGCUAACUACGUG